GCGACUUGGACACGGCGGAGCACACGCUC
This 29-nucleotide non-coding RNA is filed under the name Bombyx mori (domestic silkworm). The record is from RNAcentral. Lineage: Eukaryota; Metazoa; Arthropoda; Insecta; Lepidoptera; Bombycidae.